ACCAUUUCAGAGAAAAGAGAACCUUAUUAACAUUUAUAAUUCAAAUACUAAUUAUAGAACAUGGAAAAUAGUAAAGAAACAAGGGAAAAUCAGCUUUGGAUGCAGUCUUCAUUUAACAGAACUUCGACUCUAUUACAUGUUCAAACAUCAUUCCUCAGUCAUAAGCUAAGAAGGUACCUGGGAAAGCAAAAAUAAGAGGAAAAGGAAGGGAAUCAGCGACAAAGCAGUGUCAGCAGUAGAAAUAACCAGUGGAAACAGUCUUUAAACCAAACUUUGAACCAGCCAAGGUAACAAAUGAAAUGCAGCAACCCAAAGAACAAACCAAACUUUGAACCGAACUUUAAAAACCAACCAAACUCAGAUUAUUUCAGCUCAAGAAAGAUCAGAAAUCAUCUUUAGAGAUUUAAAACUUAAGAAAUCACAAAAGGAACUCAAUGAAACAGUAGAUUUUUCAAUUUUUUUUAGCCGUUUAUGAUUUUUUUCAGAAUUUUUAUCUCUUCCCCCCACCUUCAGCUCUUGUUAGUAAUGCCUUUAUAGGCAAGCUACUAGGGCAACAAUAAUAGGCUAAGUUUUGCAUUUUGAGCCCUUUGUGAAUUUUCUUUUUUGCUACUUAGUCCCUAAACUAUUGACUUGUUAGCCAAGCAAGUCUGUUUUUCAGCUUCUAAGAAGCUUCCUAAGCAGUUAUUGCAAGAUUCCCUAAGUGAACUACCCCAAUUACUCCUUAGUUACCCUGAAUUUACUCCGGAACCUCAAAUAGGUUAUGGGUCAAGUUGACCCUAUGGUCCAAUUGCACAAUUGGGCCUGCCCUUCUCUUCUAAAUGGGUCAGUGAUCCCAACAUCCAAACUACCACUAGUAUAAUUAAAAUCUGAAGUACAAGAAACAUGCAAACCGGGCAACCAUUAAAAUUUAAACUAAAACUUUAAUAACUAACUAAAUUAGUAGACUCAGUUAAUUAACAAACUAACGAUACUAAACAUGCAAGACUAAUCCUUCAUGAACAAAAACAAGUGCAAAGUUUCUGGAACACUAAAGAAAAAAUGAAAAAGAAAACCAGGAGAAGAACAAAUGCAGAGAAAAAAAAUCUGAAUUAAACCAAAAGAAAGAGAAAAAAGAAAAUACCUACUGAGACUCAAACGAAUGAAGGAAGGAGUCUGAAUCUUCAAUUUCUUCAGAUUUUCUAGCCCACUACGAUAUUAAUCGUGUGUUCUUAAUAAGAACAUACGAAUAACAUCGAAAUGGACCCAAAUCUUCAAACAAAAUCGAACAGGGGACCUUUUUGGGAAUUAGGGUUUGCUCUGAUUUGAAAUUCGAGUAGUUCCAGGGUGAUUCGAAAGAAAAAAGUGACAGAUUUGGGAUGAGGAAGGCUUGAGGGUUCUUUGGUGUUAAUUUGGGGUGGAUUGGUGGUGGCGCCGACACCGGAGAAACUAUGGCGGCGCUAGGGUUCCGAAUUUUAAUUUGAUAUUCGAGGAGCUCAGGCCGGAUUUGAGGGAAUGUGAACGAGAAUUUGGAAAGAGGGGGUGAAGAGAAUAUUUGGUGUUAAUUUCAUGGCGAUUGGAUGUCGGGCGACGCCGUGGGAAAUUUCCGACAAGCGGCAGGCGAUGGCAUUACAUGAGAGACUGAAGGGGUUGU
This 1630-nucleotide long non-coding RNA is filed under the name Nicotiana tabacum (common tobacco). Its description in RNAcentral is "long non-coding RNA (NTAB_LNC006065)". Lineage: Eukaryota; Viridiplantae; Streptophyta; Magnoliopsida; Solanales; Solanaceae. The record is from RNAcentral.